RNAcentral lists this ribosomal RNA (454 nucleotides) under uncultured bacterium. RNAcentral describes it as "partial 16S ribosomal RNA". It matches the Rfam family "Bacterial small subunit ribosomal RNA", at positions 28 to 507 of the family's 1533-position model. The record is from RNAcentral.
GAUGAACGUUGACAGAAUGCUUAACACAUGCAAGUCAACUUGAACUUCGGUUUGGGUGGCGGACGGGUGAGUAACGCGUAAAGAACUUGCCUCACAGCUAGGGACAACAUUUGGAAACGAAUGCUAAUACCUGAUAUUAUGAUUAUAUGGCAUCGUAUAAUUAUGAAAGCUAUAUGCGCUGUGAGAGAGCUUUGCGUCCCAUUAGCUAGUUGGAGAGGUAACAGCUCACCAAGGCGAUGAUGGGUAGCCGGCCUGAGAGGGUGAUCGGCCACAAGGGGACUGAGACACGGCCCUUACUCCUACGGGAGGCAGCAGUGGGGAAUAUUGGACAAUGGACCGAGAGUCUGAUCCAGCAAUUCUGUGUGCACGAUGAAGUUUUUCGGAAUGUAAAGUGCUUUCAGUUGGGAAGAAAAAAAUGACGGUACCAACAGAAGAAGUGACGGCUAAAUACGUG